GACGAACGCUGGCGGCGUGCCUAAUACAUGCAAGUCGAACGCAGUGGGGACGGGUGAGUAACACGUGGGUAACCUGCCAUCAGAGGGGAUAACACUUGGAAACAGGUGCUAAACCGAUACUGAUGGAUGGACCCGCGGGGAAUUAGCUAGUUGGUGAGGUAACGGCUCACCACGGCCACGAUGCAUAGCCGACCUGAGAGGGUGAUCAGCCACACUGGGACUGAGACACGGCCCAGACUCCUACGGGAGGCAGCAGUAGGGAAUCUUCGGCAAUGGACGAAAGUCUGACGGAGCAACGCCGCGUGAGUGAAGAAGGUUUUCGGAUCGUAAAGCUCUGUUGUUAGAGAAGCGUUAUCUAACCAGAAAGCCACGGCUAACUACGUGCCAGCAGCCGCGGUAAUAC
RNAcentral lists this ribosomal RNA (403 nucleotides) under uncultured bacterium. RNAcentral's name for it is "partial 16S ribosomal RNA". It matches the Rfam family "Bacterial small subunit ribosomal RNA", at positions 28 to 526 of the family's 1533-position model. The record is from RNAcentral.